Long non-coding RNA from Bombus impatiens (common eastern bumble bee), 2921 nucleotides. RefSeq lists it as uncharacterized. The record is from RefSeq and is a predicted model, not a curated record. The transcript has 2 exons. NCBI's taxonomy places the organism in Eukaryota, Metazoa, Arthropoda, Insecta, Hymenoptera, Apidae.
ACAUCGCGCGACAAAGAAACGUAAGUACGUAUAUAGCUGAAUGAUUGGGUCGAGUCGAUGGGGGUGACGAACACCAACCAUGCGUGUUUCCAUCGAAUACAGAGCGAGCGAACAGAGGUAAGCUGCACGCAGGAUAAAGAAGUUUCCAACACGGAGGAAAGCUGAUUUAUUACUCCGGGAAAGGGGCUGAGUAGUAGAGGGGUUGGAGAGCGGAAGAGCGCAGCUUGUCAGGUGUAUAACGCGUCGGAACUUACGAAAUUAUUCCAUCGAGUUUUCGUGCUGGCUGCAACGUGAGCAUCGCGAGAGAAUACAGGACGAAGGAGGACGAGAGAAAUAGAAGGAGGGAGAGCAGUCGCGUCUUAAUUGUUCGAGACACGCAGCUCGACGCUGCUGCUCACGCUCCCCGUUGAAAAGGGAUAAUUAGGAGAGACGCGGCAUCGUCGUUAACGCCUUGUAAACCGCAUUAGUAACGUUUUCCCGAUAAAACGUUGUUUUGCCCUUUUAUCGCUUAUCGGCUCGCUGGAAUCUAUUCGCACUACUUGCGAAUAAUUCAUGUAAAACAACAGAAAUGCACGCUCGUAACCCCUUUUAAUCGUAUUCCGCCUUUGUCUUGCAAAUCGUGCUUCACGUAUUCGUGAAGUAGAAUUUUCUUCGAUAGCCCGUUAUCGUUUAUUUUCCGGUUUUUUUCUGCGCUGAGUUAUCGCGAGAUGGACGAUAACAGGCAAAGUGUAAACGUUCUUGUUGAGAAUUGUGGAUCUUAAUUGCCGAAAUAAAAGUAAAGGAACACCGAGGUUACACUUAGAAUUCAAGUUAAAAUAGUUUUAGGUUUAUUUAAUAAACGAUUUCCAGGGUCUUCGUCGACAUACUUUAGCGCACGUCUCAGCACUUUCUUUGUCUCACCAUCUUCCGCACCACACUAUUAACGAAACAUUCAUCUGUUUUUCGAGACACCGCGCACACACAUACUUCCACACACUCAUAUUCACGUACGUGUGUCACUACUACGCGGCCAAUCUAGUCUAGCACACAAAAUUAUGCAUAUCUCAAUAGUUCUUAACACUGGAACUAACAAAGUUUUUCUGGUUUUUGCAAUUGAUAACAGCAUGACAGCGUUUCCGAUGGAAUUAACGUUAAUUUUCAUCGAAACUGAACUAGUAUCGGGCAAAAGUCUUGGAUUACCUAUGAUAGAUGAUCCAGCAAGGGAAUAUUUUUACACAAUGUUACGUAGAAACCAAUUCUUUUGUGACGCUAUUCGUUUGUAAUUUUUUCCGGUUCACAGGUCUUUGAAAAUUAUUUCAACAAGUAGAAGGGUAAAAUAAAUGUUACGUAGCACGAUAUAUACGUCGAACGAUUUAAAAUGAGAAAAAAGAAAGUUAAAGACAUACAUAAAUCGCCUGAAAUACUAAAAACAAAAUAUUGUAUAAUAUAACGUGUGUUUAUUGAAAAUUUAUUUGAGAAGAUCCCAGAAAGAACGACUGGACAUUAAUCAAUAUCUUUUUUAUUAAAUUACCAACAAGUUUCGAAAUAUUACGCUUAUUAAGAAGCAACAACGGACUUGAAAUAAAUUUAAAAUAAUAAUAUCAAGUAUCCUUAUAUUCAUUCAUGAGAAGAAAAUAUCGUUGCAUUUUAAGUAGCUUAAGACUUUUACAUAAUACCGUACCUAUUUAUCUUCAUCAUAUUACUUUAAUUAUAAUCAUCCCGAUAUAUAUAGUACAUUUACAUACACAUUGUAAAUCGGUAGAUUUAAUAUUAAAACCUUUCUCGUUAAAAUAUAAUACAAAAGGUUAUUCGGUCCAUCGAUCGCGGUAAAUGUUCCAGGCACCAUGCAACGUGUCGCUUAAGGCGAUUUGAAACUCGUGACAUUUACGCGGUCGACGAUAACCAAUCAGGAAACUUUGUGGAAACGUUCCGUAGACCAAUAACAUUCAAAAUUCCGUGCAUUUCGACUUCUAAUCGGAAGGUCACGGAAAGGAAAUCGUUCAGUUCUCGUCGGUCUUCGACCGAUGCGUCGCGGUCGAGUUAGUUGGUAGUUACGUUCCGAUUUGCGCAACAGUCUAACAAACUUUGGCCCGAGCAAGUUCAUAAUCGCGUAACUCUCAGGUCGGCUUUAUUUCAACAAUGCACCUACGAUACCGUGACCAUCUUACAACCACGCUACUCCCAAGCCUUUGUUCGUCAUCGACAAUAGAAGCUGUCUCUAUGGCGUAGCAGUCGAACUUCUAUCCAUCGUUUGCUUCCUCCACCCGUCGCUUACUUCUGAUUAGAAACCACGCUCUUUUCUGCACGAGAGAAAAAAGAAAAAGGAGACGAGAGAGGCGAAGCGUUUUCUCCUCAGUCACGUUUGAUCCCUUGUAAGGGGGCAGAAACGUUGAAAAGACAUCGGGGAUCAACGGGGUUCGCUUUAAUCCGACGACCCAGCGACGAUUAGCAUUCACGGGGGAAGCUCGCCCUUUGUUGUGCCGACAGUCAGUACCGGAAUCGCGGAGUCGUGCCAACGGGAUAACUGCUCAAGUUUCCCGGCAAGCUGAGACAGCGCGACGCGAACUGGGUUAGAAAAAAGACACGGGGUAGAUAUGUGUAAAAAGCGUGCCGAUUAAAACGUCCUCGGUCCGACACGGUCUCGAGAAACUUUAAUGUCGAAGAUUUUCUUCGCGAAAUUUGGAUGGAUAUACGUAUAAGUAUAAGUGUUUACAUUGGUCGAUUGUUUUGUCGGAGUUCGCGAGUGUGUUGUGAUACGAGAAGAAGUUUGGCGACGGAGAUUUCGCGGAAAGGGAACGGAAGGGCAGAAAGGAGAAGCACACGAUUUAGAAUUGACGUUUUAUCCUGUUGAACGAGGCUCUAAACAUCAUCGAAAGUUGUAAAUUUCAUCGAUUUUAUUAUUGUCUCGCCAUGUCGCCUUCAUCUGGUAUGAAUAUGUACUA